RNAcentral lists this transfer RNA (72 nucleotides) under Camelus bactrianus (Bactrian camel). It matches the Rfam family "tRNA". Rfam says of the family: Transfer RNA (tRNA) molecules are approximately 80 nucleotides in length. Their secondary structure includes four short double-helical elements and three loops (D, anti-codon, and T loops). The record is from Rfam by way of RNAcentral. Lineage: Eukaryota; Metazoa; Chordata; Mammalia; Artiodactyla; Camelidae. RNAcentral also lists the same sequence under 2 other names.
GAGGGGAUCGCUGAGCGGUGGGGCGCAUGCUUAGCACGCAUGAGGUCCCGGGUUCAGUCCCCAGUUCCUCCA